Molecule: long non-coding RNA, 557 nt
Organism: Equus asinus (donkey)
Lineage: Eukaryota; Metazoa; Chordata; Mammalia; Perissodactyla; Equidae
Source: Ensembl
ACACCCAGAGCAGAAGUUCUACUUCAGCCAGAUCAGGCCUGCAAAGAAACUGCGUUUCACAGGCCUUUGUAAGAGAUGUUCCCGGUAGGCUGUUAGAGCACUGUGCAGAGCGAGUUGUUUCUUAGCUUCCCAACGAGCUGGAAGCAAGAUGCUUUAGGGGCCAUCUGCCCUUAAGGAAAGAAGGCAGCACUUUGUGCCUUGCAGCUCUAGGGCAAUGUAGCACACCCAGAGCAGAUGUUCUACUUCUGCCAGAUCAGGCCUGCAAAGAAACUUCGUUUCACAGGCCUUUGUAAGAGAUGUUCCCGGUAGGCUGUUAGAGCACUGUGCAGAGCGACUUGUUUCUUAGCUUCCCAAAGAGCUGGAAGCAAAAUGCUUUGAGACUCAUCUGCCCCUUUGGAAAGAAGGCAGCACUUUGUGCCUUGCAGCUCUAGGGCAAUGUAGCACACCCAGAGCAGAAGUUCUACUUCAGCCAGAUCAGGCCUGCAAAGAAACUGCGUUUCACAGGCCUUUGUAAGAGAUGUUCCCGGUAGGCUGUUAGAGCACUGUGCAGAGGGAGU